This 406-nucleotide ribosomal RNA is filed under the name bacterium BM7. Its description in RNAcentral is "bacterial SSU rRNA". It matches the Rfam family "Bacterial small subunit ribosomal RNA", at positions 970 to 1376 of the family's 1533-position model. The record is from RNAcentral.
CUUACCUACUCUUGACAUCCAGAGAACUUUCCAGAGAUGGAUUGGUGCCUUCGGGAACUCUGAGACAGGUGCUGCAUGGCUGUCGUCAGCUCGUGUUGUGAAAUGUUGGGUUAAGUCCCGCAACGAGCGCAACCCUUAUCCUUUGUUGCCAGCGGUUCGGCCGGGAACUCAAAGGAGACUGCCAGUGAUAAACUGGAGGAAGGUGGGGAUGACGUCAAGUCAUCAUGGCCCUUACGAGUAGGGCUACACACGUGCUACAAUGGCGCAUACAAAGAGAAGCGACCUCGCGAGAGCAAGCGGACCUCAUAAAGUGCGUCGUAGUCCGGAUUGGAGUCUGCAACUCGACUCCAUGAAGUCGGAAUCGCUAGUAAUCGUAGAUCAGAAUGCUACGGUGAAUACGUUCCCG